AGCAUAUAUUACCCCUAUUCUAGGUUCUCAGGGAAGUUCACUGGAGAUCAUUCUAUGCAAGUAAUUAUAUUCUCUUGUUCAGUGUCAGGCUGUCUCUGAUUUAAUUCCUUGCUCCUUGAGGGUUUGUGCCUCUUAUCUAUGGGUUCCUUGUGACUUAAUUGUUGGGUGAAAUAAAAGUGAAUGAUCGCAUUUGUUUGACUGGUAUAGGCAUGGGAUCAUUGUGUGUUUGAAACUCAGACAUGCAGCCUGAAAAAGGUUUAUGU
RNAcentral lists this long non-coding RNA (263 nucleotides) under Bos taurus (domestic cattle). Its description in RNAcentral is "long non-coding RNA NONBTAT026886". Lineage: Eukaryota; Metazoa; Chordata; Mammalia; Artiodactyla; Bovidae. The record is from RNAcentral.